UAGGGAAUCUUCCGCAAUGGGCGAAAGCCUGACGGAGCAACGCCGCGUGAGUGAUGAAGGUCUUCGGAUCGUAAAACUCUGUUAUUAGGGAAGAACAAAUGUGUAAGUAACUAUGCACGUCUUGACGGUACCUAAUCAGAAAGCCACGGCUAACUACGUGCCAGCAGCCGCGGUAAUACGUAGGUGGCAAGCGUUAUCCGGAAUUAUUGGGCGUAAAGCGCGCGUAGGCGGUUUUUUAAGUCUGAUGUGAAAGCCCACGGCUCAACCGUGGAGGGUCAUUGGAAACUGGAAAACUUGAGUGCAGAAGAGGAAAGUGAAAUUCCGUGUGUAGCGGUGAAAUGCGCAGAGAUAUGGAGGAACACCAGUGGCGAAGGCGACUUUCUGGUCUGUAACUGACGCUGAUGUGCGAAAGCGUGGGGAUCAAACAGG
Molecule: ribosomal RNA, 429 nt
Filed under: Actinomycetes bacterium
Lineage: Bacteria; Bacillati; Actinomycetota; Actinomycetes
Description: Actinobacteria bacterium partial 16S ribosomal RNA
Rfam family: Bacterial small subunit ribosomal RNA
Source: RNAcentral